CGUUACCAAACUGUUGCCUCGGCGGGAUCUCUGCCCCGGGUGCGUCGCAGCCCCGGACCAAGGCGCCCGCCGGAGGACCAACCAAAACUCUUAUUGUAUACCCCCUCGCGGGUUUUUUUUUAUAAUCUGAGCCUUCUCGGCGCCUCUCGUAGGCGUUUCGAAAAUGAAUCAAAACUUUCAACAACGGAUCUCUUGGUUCUGGCAUCGAUGAAGAACGCAGCGAAAUGCGAUAAGUAAUGUGAAUUGCAGAAUUCAGUGAAUCAUCGAAUCUUUGAACGCACAUUGCGCCCGCCAGUAUUCUGGCGGGCAUGCCUGUCCGAGCGUCAUUUCAACCCUCGAACCCCUCCGGGGGGUCGGCGUUGGGGAUCGGCCCUGCCUUGGCGGUGGCCGUCUCCGAAAUACAGUGGCGGUCUCGCCGCAGCCUCUCCUGCGCAGUAGUUUGCACACUCGCAUCGGGAGCGCGGCGCGUCCACAGCCGUUAAACACCCAACUUCUGAAAUGUUGACCUCGGAUCAGGUAGGAAUACCCGCUGAACUUAA
Molecule: ribosomal RNA, 539 nt
Filed under: Trichoderma harzianum
Lineage: Eukaryota; Fungi; Ascomycota; Sordariomycetes; Hypocreales; Hypocreaceae
Description: eukaryotic LSU rRNA
Rfam family: 5.8S ribosomal RNA (bases 173-326)
Source: RNAcentral